This 342-nucleotide ribosomal RNA is filed under the name Triticum aestivum (bread wheat). Its description in RNAcentral is "partial small subunit ribosomal RNA". The record is from RNAcentral. Lineage: Eukaryota; Viridiplantae; Streptophyta; Magnoliopsida; Poales; Poaceae.
AUGCAGCUCAUGUUUGAUGGUCAAAUUGUUGACUCUGGUUGUCGGGUCAUUCUCGACUUUGACUCGGUCUCUAUUCUAGACCAUCAUACUGAUGCUCUCCUUGUUGCUGGCCCCCGGCACCGUGACUACCAAGGCCUCUGGGAGCUUGACUGGCUUCACCUUCCCUCCACUGCCACUACCGACAGUCUCUCCCUCUCUGUUGCCUUGUCUACCAGCUCUUUUCAGCAGUGGCAUCAUCGCCUUGGUCACUUGUGUGGCUCUCGUCUCUCAUCCUUGGUUCAACUUGGUCUUCUUGGAUCCUCCGGCGGUGUCUUUAGACUGCUAGGGUUGUCGGCUUGGUAA